Molecule: non-coding RNA, 108 nt
Organism: Acanthosepion pharaonis
Lineage: Eukaryota; Metazoa; Mollusca; Cephalopoda; Sepiida; Sepiidae
Source: the annotation of a GenBank genome assembly
UUGCGGCCAUAUCACUUUGAAACAUUGGUUCUCCUACGAUUACCGAAGUUAAGCAAUGCCGAACGUGGUCAGUACAUAGAUGAGUAACCCCUUGGAAAUACCAGGUGA